AACACCUCAACCUCCUCUUGAUUUUUCAAAAGGAGGGUGGACUUGAGCUAUCCCAACGACCUUCACCGGUAGGCGGGCGGCUUGAAAUGCAGGUGCAGCUGGACUUUUAUCUGAGCUAAAAGCAUAUCUAUUUAGUCCUCGUCAAACAGGAUUAUUACUUUUGCUGCAGCUAACAUAAAGGAUAAUUGUCCUCUUUGCUGACUGAUGCAGGAUUUUACGACACUUUAUGUGUUGUUCA
Molecule: unclassified non-coding RNA, 238 nt
Filed under: Podila epicladia
Lineage: Eukaryota; Fungi; Mortierellomycota; Mortierellomycetes; Mortierellales; Mortierellaceae
Description: partial internal transcribed spacer 2
Source: RNAcentral